Molecule: ribosomal RNA, 465 nt
Filed under: uncultured bacterium
Lineage: Bacteria
Description: partial 16S ribosomal RNA
Rfam family: Bacterial small subunit ribosomal RNA
Source: RNAcentral
GACGAACGCUGGCGGCGUGCUUAACACAUGCAAGUCGAACGGAAAGGCCCCUUUUGGGGUACUCGGGUGGCGUACGGGGGAGUAACACGUGCGUAACCUGCCCUUAACUUCGGGAUAACUUCAGGAAACUGGGGCUAAUACCGGAUAGGAAUCCUUGCUGCAUGGUGGGGGUGGGAAAGCUUCGGCGGUUUUGGAUGAGCGCGCGGCCUAUCUGCUUGUUGGUGGGGUAGUGGCUUACCAAGGCUUAGACGGGAAGCCGGCCCGGGUGUGCGACCCGCCUCAUCGGCACUGGGACUCGGCCCCGACUCCUACGGGUGCGAGCAGUGGCGAAUAGUGCUCAAUGGGCGGGAGCGUGAUGCAGCAACGCCGCGGGCGGGAGGGCGGCGUUCGGGUUGUAAUCCGCUUUCAGCAUGGGCGGAGCUGGUGGUGACGGUACCUGCAGAAGAAGCACCGGCUAACUACGUG